CUGGGAGUACUGUAGUAAUAUAGUGUCUGAUCACGGCUCAGAUUGAACGCUGGCGGGAUGUUUACACAUGCAAGUCGAACGGCAGCACGGACUUCGGUCUGGUGGCGAGUGGCGAACGGGUGAGCAAUGGUCUGAACGUGCCUAGUAGCGGGGGAUAACUACGCAAAGGUAUAGCCAUUACCGUAUACGCCUCGGGGAAAGCGGGGGGACCUUCGGGCCUCGCACUAUUAGAGCGGCCGAUAUCGGAUUAGCUAGUUGGUGGGUAACGUGGCUCACCACAUGAUGAUCCGUAGCUGGUUUGAGAGGACGACCAGCCACACUGGGACUGAGACACGGCCCAGACUCCUACGGGAGGCAGCAGUGGGGAAUUUUGACAAUGGGGGAAACCCUGAUCCAGCCAUCCCGCGUGUGCGAUGAAGGCCUUCGGGGUUGUAAAGACCUUUUGGCAGGAAAGAAAACGGCACGGGAUAAUACCCCGUGCAACUGACGGUACCUGCAGAAUAAGCACCGGCUAACCACGUGCCAGCAGCCGCGGUAAUACGUAGGGUGCAAGCGUUAAUCGGAAUUACUGGCGUAAAGCGUGCGCAGGCGUUCGAAAGAAAGGAUGCAGGGAAUCCCAGAGCUUAACUUUGAACUGCAUUUUAUCCAACGGAGCUAGAGGUAUUGAGGAGGGGAAUUCCGCGUAGCAGUGAAAUGCGUAGAUAUGCGGAGGAACACCGAUGGCGAAGGCAGCCUCCAGGGAUAACACUGACGCUCAUGCACGAAAGCGUGGGAGCAAAUAGGAUGAUAAUUCUGGUAGUCCACGCCUCAAUCGAUGAAAGCUUUAAUCAGCUGUUGGGGCUUCGGUCGGUAGCGCAGCUAACGCGUGAAGUUGACCGCCUGGGGAGUACGGUCGCAAGAUUAAAAACUCAAAGGAAUUGACGGGGACCCCGUUGUUGGUGGAUACAUGGAUGCACCAUAAACGGCGAAAACCUUACCUACCCUUGACAUGUCUGGAAUCCCGAAGAGAUUUGGGAGUGCUCGCAAGAGAACUGGAACACAGGUGCUGCAUGGCUGUCGUCAGCUCGUGUCGUGAGAUGUUGGGUUAAGUCCCGCAACGAGCGCAACCCUUGUCAUUAGUUGCUACGAAAGGCACCCAAUUGAGACUGCGCUGUACAACCGAGUAGUGAAUACUUAAACGUAUGAGCCUUUAACAGGUGGCUCAGCAAUGCUCAACAAUGACGGCAGUCGCACCAUGGCAGGGGAGCCACACCAGAACCGAUCAGUCCGGAUCGCAGUCUGCAACUCGACUGCAGUCGGAAUCGCUAGUAAUCGCGGAUCAGCAUGUCGCGUGAAUACGUUCUGGUCUUAAAGAUGACCGCCCGGGUCACAUCAUGGGAGUGGGUUUUACCAGAAGUAGUUAGCCUAACCGUAAGGAGGGCGAUUACCACGGCAGGAUUCAUGACUGGGGUAAGCAACAAGGUG
RNAcentral lists this ribosomal RNA (1464 nucleotides) under uncultured Bordetella sp. RNAcentral describes it as "partial 16S-23S ribosomal RNA intergenic spacer". It matches the Rfam family "Bacterial small subunit ribosomal RNA". Lineage: Bacteria; Pseudomonadati; Pseudomonadota; Betaproteobacteria; Burkholderiales; Alcaligenaceae. The record is from RNAcentral.